AAAGUCGUAACAAGGUUUCCGUAGGUGAACCUGCGGAAGGAUCAUUAACAAAUUUUCCACACACCCCACACGUAUUGUGCACCGUUACCUCACUAUGGUGGACCAGUGCUCAAAAUUGAGCCCCACGGAUGCAAGGUUUGUGUUCGAAUUUCACAUUGUGAUUUACGUUCACAUUAUACCAAGCAUCAUUCGUGGAUCCACCACAUGUUUACGCAACCCCUUUAAAAAUUUACUUAGACUUUAAUUAUUAAAUUAAAGACAACUUUUAGCAACGGAUCUCUUGGCUCUC
Molecule: unclassified non-coding RNA, 289 nt
Filed under: Basidiomycota sp.
Lineage: Eukaryota; Fungi; Basidiomycota
Description: partial contains small subunit ribosomal RNA, internal transcribed spacer 1, and 5.8S ribosomal RNA
Rfam family: Eukaryotic small subunit ribosomal RNA (bases 1-47)
Source: RNAcentral